This 165-nucleotide unclassified non-coding RNA is filed under the name soil metagenome. Its description in RNAcentral is "partial contains 5.8S ribosomal RNA, internal transcribed spacer 2, and large subunit ribosomal RNA". The record is from RNAcentral.
AACACUGUUAACCUGCGGUACCUGCGGAGGGAUCAUAACUGGUUAAACUUUAUAAACACCAGAGUUUCAAACUCUGUGUUUGCAAACAAAAAACACCCUUCAAAACAGCUAUUCAGUGUCUGAAUUAACUAGUUUAAUAUAAAAACAACUUUCAACAAUGGAUCU